CGGGACGGGUGAAGUAACGCGGUGGAACUAACCUCGCCGUAUACGGUGGGGGAAUAAACUACUUAAGUAAAAGUUAGGUGACUUAACUACCGCAUAACGCACAGUCUCGCAUGAGACGGUGUGAAAAACUCCGGUGGUAUACGAUGGAUCCGCGUCUGAUUAGCUUGUUGGCGGGGUAACAGCCCACCAAGGCGACGAUCAGUAGCCGGCCUGAGAGGGUGAACGGCCACAUUGGGACUGAGACACGGCCCAAACUCCUACGGGAGGCAGCAG
This 273-nucleotide ribosomal RNA is filed under the name uncultured bacterium. Its description in RNAcentral is "partial 16S ribosomal RNA". It matches the Rfam family "Bacterial small subunit ribosomal RNA", at positions 98 to 354 of the family's 1533-position model. The record is from RNAcentral.